RNAcentral lists this unclassified non-coding RNA (349 nucleotides) under soil metagenome. RNAcentral's name for it is "partial contains 5.8S ribosomal RNA, internal transcribed spacer 2, and large subunit ribosomal RNA". The stretch from base 1 to 119 matches the Rfam family "5.8S ribosomal RNA", at positions 35 to 154 of the family's 154-position model. The record is from RNAcentral.
GAUGAAGAACGUAGCGAAAUGCGAUAAGUAAUGCGAAUUGCAGAAUCCGUGAGUCAUCGAAUCUUUGAACGCACAUUGCGCCCCCUGGUAUUCCGGAGGGCAUGCCUGUUCGAGCGUCAUUAUCACCCCUCAAGCCCGGCUUGUUGUUGGAUGCAGCGCUUAUCCCGCUCCUCCCAAAGAUAAUGACGGCGUCUGCGACGACUCCUGUACACUGAGCUUUCGGGCACGUACACGGCUAGAAGUCCAGACCCGGUCGCCGUCCCCCCCGCGGGGACACCCAUUACCACAAGGUUGACCUCGGAUCAGGUAGGAAUACCCGCUGAACUUAAGCAUAUCAAUAAGCGGAGGA